CCUACGGGUGGCAGCAGUGGGGAAUAUUGCACAAUGGGGGAAACCCUGAUGCAGCGACGCCGCGUGAGUGAAGAAGUAUCUCGGUACGUAAAGCUCUAUCAGCAGGGAAGAAAAUGACGGUACCUGACUAAGAAGCCCCGGCUAACUACGUGCCAGCAGCCGCGGUAAUACGUAGGGGGCAAGCGUUAUCCGGAUUUACUGGGUGUAAAGGGAGCGUAGACGGCAGCACAAGUCUGGAGUGAAAUCCCGGGGCCUAACCCCGGAACUGCUUUGGAAACUGUGCGGCUGGAGUGCAGGAGGGGUAAGCGGAAUUCCUAGUGUAGCGGUGAAAUGCGUAGAUAUUAGGAGGAACACCGGUGGCGAAGGCGGCUUACUGGACUGUAACUGACGUUGAGGCUCGAAAGCGUGGGGAGCAAACAGGAUUAGAUACCCCAGUAGUC
Molecule: ribosomal RNA, 440 nt
Filed under: uncultured bacterium
Lineage: Bacteria
Description: partial 16S ribosomal RNA
Rfam family: Bacterial small subunit ribosomal RNA
Source: RNAcentral